This 468-nucleotide ribosomal RNA is filed under the name uncultured bacterium. Its description in RNAcentral is "partial 16S ribosomal RNA". It matches the Rfam family "Bacterial small subunit ribosomal RNA", at positions 28 to 507 of the family's 1533-position model. The record is from RNAcentral.
GACGAACGCUGGCGGCGUGCUUAACACAUGCAAGUCGAACGGAAAGGCCCUGCUUUUGUGGGGUGCUCGAGUGGCGAACGGGUGAGUAACACGUGAGUAACCUGCCCUUGACUUUGGGAUAACUUCAGGAAACUGGGGCUAAUACCGGAUAGGAGCUCCUGCUGCAUGGUGGGGGUUGGAAAGUUUCGGCGGUUGGGGAUGGACUCGCGGCUUAUCAGCUUGUUGGUGGGGUAGUGGCUUACCAAGGCUUUGACGGGUAGCCGGCCUGAGAGGGUGACCGGCCACAUUGGGACUAAGAUACGGCCCAGACUCCUACGGGAGGCAGCAGUGGGGAAUAUUGCACAAUGGGUGGAAGCCUGAUGCAGAAACGCCGCGUGCGGGAUGACGGCCUUCGGGUUGUAAACCGCUUUCGCCUGUGACGAAGCGUGAGUGACGGUAAUGGGUAAAGAAGCACCGGCUAACUACGUG